RNAcentral lists this ribosomal RNA (430 nucleotides) under uncultured bacterium. RNAcentral's name for it is "partial 16S ribosomal RNA". It matches the Rfam family "Bacterial small subunit ribosomal RNA", at positions 29 to 506 of the family's 1533-position model. The record is from RNAcentral.
AACGAACGCUGGCGGCAGGCCUAACACAUGCAAGUCGAGCGCGCCUUCGGGUGAGCGGCGGACGGGUGAGUAACGCGUGGGAAUAUGCUCUUCUCUACGGAAUAGUCCUGGGAAACUGGGGGUAAUACCGUAUACGCCCUUUGGGGGUAAGAUUUAUCGGGGAAGGAUUAGCCCGCGUUGGAUUAGGUAGUUGGUGGGGUAAUGGCCUACCAAGCCGACGAUCCAUAGCUGGUUUGAGAGGAUGAUCAGCCACACUGGGACUGAGACACGGCCCAGACUCCUACGAGAGGCAGCAGUGGGGAAUCUGAGACAAUGGGGGCAACCCUAAGCUAGCCAUGCCGCGUGAGUGAUGAAGGCCUUAGGGUUGUAAAGCGCUUUCAGCUGGGAAGAUAAUGACGGUACCAGCAGAAGAAGCCCCGGCUAACUCCGU